UCGAUUAGUUCAUUAUAAUUCGAAGGGGAAUGAGCAGUAAAAUACAAGCAAAGCAACACACAAAUGUGGCACGAAUAAACAUUUUCAAGUACCUAAUAAAACGGAGAUUUUUAAAUAAAUCAUAAGCAAUAGGAAUUUGUUAGGUGGGGCAGGUCGGGUUAAGAUCGGUUAAGCCCCGGGCGUCCGAUCUUGGAAUACCAAGCUGGGGCCAUGUUUGAGACGGGCAUGGAUUUCAAGCUUGGGGAUAUAUAGGGUGAAUGAACCUUGCUAGCCUAUGCCCGGUCAAGCUGAAUUGAAUAUCCUGAGUUCAAGCUUGGAAUACCUUGGACCAUACUCAGGGUAGCUUUAGAUCCCAAGCUUGGACUCGUGCGGUACCAUCAAGCUGGGAAAUACCUUGGUCAUCUAUGCCCAACCAAGCUAUGCUCAGAACAAGCUUGAGUAAAUAUCUUGAGUUCAAGAUUGGAAUAGGAAGCUCGAUCCAUGCUUGGAUUGCCUUGGUAACAUAUGCCUGAACAAGCCCGGUUAAGCGUCUAGAGUUCAUGCUUGAAAUAUCAAGCUUGGAGAAUGCUUGGCGCAGACUCAGAUUCAAAGCUUGGACACGUAUGGCAUCACCAAGUUUGGAUUUACCUAGGUAUAUCCAUAGCAUCGAGCUUGUUCAGAGCUAGGUAUGCCAAGGCUAGGCAAUCUUAGCUUCUGCCACGCAUGAUCCUAUCGUUGAAGUUUGAAAUUUCUCACCUGGGAUGAGGGAGAGCCAAGACAUAGCGAGAGAAAUAGUUUUCAUCUUUGUCCUUUUCCUAUCAAACGGGCCGGUUCAAUGGGAAUUAAUUACCGUUCGACCAUUGCUUGGGUGCUGAUAUAACUGUCAGGCAAUUGUAAACACGGACUUAAACAAUAAAUUGAAAUUUAACAAAUCUAA
This is a long non-coding RNA of Fopius arisanus, 916 nucleotides long. RefSeq lists it as uncharacterized. Lineage: Eukaryota; Metazoa; Arthropoda; Insecta; Hymenoptera; Braconidae. The transcript is spliced from 2 exons. The record is from RefSeq and is a predicted model, not a curated record.